RNAcentral lists this ribosomal RNA (494 nucleotides) under uncultured bacterium. RNAcentral's name for it is "bacterial SSU rRNA". It matches the Rfam family "Bacterial small subunit ribosomal RNA", at positions 28 to 483 of the family's 1533-position model. The record is from RNAcentral.
GACGAACGCUGGCGGCGUGCCUAAUACAUGCAAGUCGAACGCACUUUCGUUAGAUUGAAGAAGCUUGCUUCUGAUUGAUAACAUUUGAGUGAGUGGCGGACGGGUGAGUAACACGUGGGUAACCUGCCCUAAAGUGGGGGAUAACAUUUGGAAACAGAUGCUAAUACCGCAUAAAACCUAGCACCGCAUGGUGCAAGGUUGAAAGAUGGUUUCGGCCAUCACUUUAGGAUGGACCCGCGGUGCAUUAGUUAGUUGGUGAGGUAAAGGCUCACCAAGACCGUGAUGCAUAGCCGACCUGAGAGGGUAAUCGGCCACACUGGGACUGAGACACGGCCCAGACUCCUACGGGAGGCAGCAGUAGGGAAUCUUCCACAAUGGACGAAAGUCUGAUGGAGCAACGCCGCGUGAGUGAAGAAGGUUUUCGGAUCGUAAAACUCUGUUGUUGGAGAAGAACGUAUUUGAUAGUAACUGAUCAGGUAGUGACGGUAUCCGAA